GAGGGUAUAACUCAGUGGUAGAGUGCGCAGUUAGCAUGCAGGAUGUCCUGGGUUCAAUCCCCAGUACCUCUG
Molecule: transfer RNA, 72 nt
Filed under: Camelus bactrianus (Bactrian camel)
Lineage: Eukaryota; Metazoa; Chordata; Mammalia; Artiodactyla; Camelidae
Also listed under: 1 other name
Rfam family: tRNA
About the family: Transfer RNA (tRNA) molecules are approximately 80 nucleotides in length. Their secondary structure includes four short double-helical elements and three loops (D, anti-codon, and T loops).
Source: Rfam by way of RNAcentral